GGGGGGGGCGCUAGCAGACGCGGACAUGCUUUCCAGAUUAAUAAGACUGAUUGUAGAAAGUGGAGUAAUUCUCCAUUGUGAUAUGUGUAGUUUAGGGCCUUGCAUGAGCCCCGUGCGAAUCUCAGGACUGUGUGCCUCAGUUAUUUUCGUUCUUUCCAUUAUAUCCGGGGGGGACAAACGUGGGGAAUGAAUUUUUAUCUCAAGCGCUUGGCGUUUGUUCGACAAAUGUCGUCAUUUAUCCAGUCAUUACGAGUUUCAGCACGAGGCCAAUGAACGGUGGACGGAGACCGAGGCGUCAGAAAAACUUGACUCCUCUCCCCACUGGCCGUAAGGAUAAUUCAAGAAAAAAAGUGAACUGGCUUCUCGUUCGAGAGGAAGCAUCUCUUUUGGAUUCCUGCCUUGGAUAACGGAUUUACGAGUAUAAAAGGGCUUUUACACCCGUUGGGCUAGUGGUAAUAACUAGCUCGCGCCCAGGAUAAACUACACCCCCUGUAUCAUCAACCCCCCGAGGCGCAGUAAUGAUGCACCACGAUGUACUAUUUUUCAUGAUUAUUUCAGUAAAUAAACGAUGGAGAGUUGAUAAAAUAGGAGAGCAAAAAAUCAACCGGAACCGCGGUGCCUCGACGGAAAGCUGGGCGGCAAUAUUAUGAUGGCAGAAUAAAUGUUGAAACACUCCAA
This is a long non-coding RNA of Diachasmimorpha longicaudata, 678 nucleotides long. RefSeq lists it as uncharacterized. The transcript is spliced from 2 exons. The record is from RefSeq and is a predicted model, not a curated record. NCBI's taxonomy places the organism in Eukaryota, Metazoa, Arthropoda, Insecta, Hymenoptera, Braconidae.